GAUGAACGCUGGCGGCGUGCCUAAUACAUGCAAGUCGAGCGAACAGACGAGGAGCUUGCUCCUCUGACGUUAGCGGCGGACGGGUGAGUAACACGUGGAUAACCUACCUAUAAGACUGGGAUAACUUCGGGAAACCGGAGCUAAUACCGGAUAAUAUCUUUAAACGCAUGGUUCAAUAGUGAAAGACGGUUUUGCUGUCACUUAUAGAUGGAUCCGCGCCGCAUUAGCUAGUUGGUAAGGUAACGGCUUACCAAGGCGACGAUGCGUAGCCGACCUGAGAGGGUGAUCGGCCACACUGGAACUGGGACACGGUCCAGACUCCUACGGGAGGCAGCAGUAGGGAAUCUUGCGCAAUGGGCGAAAGCCUGACGGGGCAACGCCGCGUGAGUGAUGAAGGUCUUCGGAUCGUAAAACUCUGUUAUUAGGGAAGAACAAAUGUGUAAGUAACUAUGCACGUCUUGACGGUACCUAAUCAGAAAGCCACGGCUAACUACGUG
RNAcentral lists this ribosomal RNA (497 nucleotides) under uncultured bacterium. Its description in RNAcentral is "partial 16S ribosomal RNA". It matches the Rfam family "Bacterial small subunit ribosomal RNA", at positions 28 to 507 of the family's 1533-position model. The record is from RNAcentral.